GACGAACGCUGGCGGCGUGCUUAACACAUGCAAGUCGAACGAUGAACCGGUUUCGGCCGGGGAUUAGUGGCGAACGGGUGAGUAACACGUGGGCAAUCUGCCCUGCACUCUGGGAUAAGCCCGGGAAACUGGGUCUAAUACCGGAUACGACACUCCGAGGCAUCUUGGGGUGUGGAAAGUUCCGGCGGUGCAGGAUGAGCCCGCGGCCUAUCAGCUUGUUGGUGGGGUAAUGGCCUACCAAGGCGACGACGGGUAGCCGGCCUGAGAGGGUGACCGGCCACACUGGGACUGAGACACGGCCCAGACGCCUACGGGAGGCAGCAGUGGGGAAUAUUGCACAAUGGGCGAAAGCCUGAUGCAGCGACGCCGCGUGAGGGAUGACGGCCUUCGGGUUGUAAACCUCUUUCAGCAGGGAAGAAGCGAAAGUGACGGUACCUGCAGAAGAAGCACCGGCUAACUACGUG
RNAcentral lists this ribosomal RNA (464 nucleotides) under uncultured bacterium. Its description in RNAcentral is "partial 16S ribosomal RNA". It matches the Rfam family "Bacterial small subunit ribosomal RNA", at positions 28 to 507 of the family's 1533-position model. The record is from RNAcentral.